AAUCUUCCACAAUGGACGAAAGUCUGAUGGAGCAAUGCCGCGUGAGUGAAGAAGGUUUUCGGAUCGUAAAGCUCUGUUGUAAGGGAAGAACAAGUACAGGAGUAACUGCCUGUACCUUGACGGUACCUUACCAGAAAGCCACGGCUUACUACGUGCCAGCAGCCGCGGUAAUACGUAGGUGGGAAGCGUUGUCAGGAAUUAUUUGGCGUAAGGCGCGGGCAGGCGGUCCUUUAAGUCUGAUGUGAAAGCCCACGGCUCAACCGUGGAGGGUCAUUGAAAACUGGAGGACUUGAGUACAGAAGAGGAAAGCGGAAUUCCACGUGUAGCGGUGAAAUGCGUAGAGAUGUGGAGGAACACCAGUGGCGAAGGCGGCUUUCUGGUCUGUAACUGACGCUGAGGCGCGAAAGCGUGGGGAGCAAAC
RNAcentral lists this ribosomal RNA (421 nucleotides) under uncultured bacterium. RNAcentral's name for it is "partial 16S ribosomal RNA". It matches the Rfam family "Bacterial small subunit ribosomal RNA", at positions 360 to 773 of the family's 1533-position model. The record is from RNAcentral.